CGUAGUCGAUGGACAUCCGGUUGAUAUUCCGGAACCGGCGAAGAACCGCCCAUACCGAACCACGUAAUGCUAAGCGCCUGAAGUGUGGCACCGUCUUCGGAUGGUUCCUCAUGGAGCGCGCGACCCUAGCGAGUAGUAGGUAAGCAAUGGAGAGACGCAGGAAGGUAGCCGAACCGCGGCGAUGGUUGUUCCGCGGGUAAGGGUGUAGGGCGAGGUGUAGGCAAAUCCGCACCUCAUGUGCCUGAGACCUGACACGGACCCGUAAGGGGAAGUCGGUGAUCCUAUGCUGCCAAGAAAAUCUUCUAGCGAGGUUCUAGCCGCCCGUACCCCAAACCGACUCAGGUGGUUAGGUAGAGAAUACCAAGGCGAUCGAGUGAAUCGUGGUUAAGGAAUUCGGCAAAAUGCCCCCGUAACUUCGGGAGAAGGGGGGCCCAGACCUUGAAGUCACUUGCUGACUAGGGGAAAGGGCCGCAGAGACCAGGGAGAAGCGACUGUUUACUAAAAACACAGGUCCGUGCGAAGUCGCAAGACGAUGUAUACGGACUGACGCCUGCCCGGUGCUGGAAGGUUAAGAGGACCGGUUAGACCGCAAGGUCGAAGCUGAGAAUUUAAGCCCCAGUAAACGGCGGUGGUAACUAUAACCAUCCUAAGGUAGCGAAAUUCCUUGUCGGGUAAGUUCCGACCUGCACGAAUGGCGUAACGACUUCUCCACUGUCUCAACCGCGAACUCGGCGAAAUUGCACUACGAGUAAAGAUGCUCGUUACGCGCAGAAGGACGGAAAGACCCCGGGACCUUUACUACAGCUUGGUAUUGGUGUUCGGUACGGCUUGUGUAGGAUAGGUGGGAGACUGUGAAGCUGACACGCCAGUGUCGGUGGAGUCAACGUUGAAAUACCACUCUGGUCGUUCUGGAUAUCUAACCUCGGUCCGUGAUCCGGAUCAGGGACAGUGCCUGGUGGGUAGUUUAACUGGGGCGGUUGCCUCCUAAAAGGUAACGGAGGCGCCCAAAGGUUCCCUCAGCCUGGUUGGCAAUCAGGUUUCGAGUGUAAGUGCACAAGGGAGCUUGACUGCGAGAGAGACAUCUCGAGCAGGGACGAAAGUCGGAACUAGUGACCCGGCGGUGGCUUGUGGAAGCGCCGUCGCUCAACGGAUAAAAGGUACCCCGGGGAUAACAGGCUGAUCUUGCCCAAGAGUCCAUAUCGACGGCAUGGUUUGGCACCUCGAUGUCGGCUCGUCGCAUCCUGGGGCUGGAGUAGGUCCCAAGGGUUGGGCUGUUCGCCCAUUAAAGCGGUACGCGAGCUGGGUUUAGAACGUCGUGAGACAGUUCGGUCCCUAUCCUCUGCGCGCGCAGGAAACUUGAGAAGGGCUGUCCCUAGUACGAGAGGACCGGGAUGGACGAACCUCUGGUGUGUCAGUUGUUCUGCCAAGAGCACCGCUGAUUAGCUACGUUCGGGAGUGAUAACCGCUGAAAGCAUCUAAGCGGGAAGCAUGCUUCAAGAUGAGGUUUCCAUGGGGUUUACCCCGAGAGGCUCCCAGCUAGACUACUGGGUUGAUAGGCCGGAUGUGGAAGUGCGGUAACGCAUGGAGCUGACCGGUACUAAUAAGCCGAUAACUUGACUA
This 1620-nucleotide ribosomal RNA is filed under the name activated sludge metagenome. Its description in RNAcentral is "bacterial LSU rRNA". It matches the Rfam family "Bacterial large subunit ribosomal RNA", at positions 1410 to 2925 of the family's 2925-position model. The record is from RNAcentral.